AUGGAUAGUGCCCCGUGUGUCAAGCUUUCGCUCCUGUGUUGGAAUGUGCAAGGGCUGGGGGAUAGGGAUAAGUGUGACGUCGUUAGAAACUCUAUCAACGCUGUCGGCCCUGCCAUCGCCUGCAUCCAGGAGAGCAAGUUGGACGAUCUCCCCUCUCUCAAAGCUCGCUCGUUCCUACCGGCUCGUCUUGAGUCGUAUGUCUGUAAGCAUGCCGAUGGGUCUCGUGGCGGUAUUGUCACGGCUUGGGACCCCCGCGUCUUUUCUCUGGCCUCCUCUUCGUCCUCCCGCUUCACGCUCACCGCCUCCUUCCUAUCCACCACGACCGCUUUCUCCUUCUCGAUCACCAAUGUCUACGCCCCCUCCGAUCACGCUCUCACGACGGAUUUUGUUCUCGACCUCCAAACGGUCGCCCGAGACAUCUCCGGGCCCUGGAUGGUGCUUGGAGAUUUUAACUUGAUCCGUUUCCCCCACGAGAAAAACAACGAUAGGUUCGAUGCCUCACGCGCUGAGGUUUUUAACUCUCUCAUCAACGGGCUUGCGCUGCACGAGCUCGCGCUGUCUGAUCGCAUGUUCACCUGGACUAAUAAGCGAGACCCGCCGACGCUGGCUUGCUUAGAUCGUGUCUUGUUUGACUCGGCCUGGGAUGUAGCCUUCCCGGACUCGUCCCUCUCCUCCCGCCCUCGGCCAACCUCGGACCACGUCCCCUUAGUCGUGGAAGCGCUCACCAAAAUCCCUUCAUCUCUGCGAUUUUUCUUUGAGAACGCCUGGCUCCGCGACCCUCAGUUCCUCCCCUCCACCCUUCCUUCAUGGUCGAACGCUGGUCAUGGGCGGUGCGCGGUGGGCUGCUUGGCAGCCCGCAAGAAGAGGUACAGAGCAGCGGCCAAGGUUUGGAAAAGGCAACACAAGUUCAUUCCCGCUUUCGAUAAUGACUGUAAAUUCCUGAUUGACUUGGUUGAUUUUUGGGAGGAAUGCCGUCCUUUAUCCGAUGCUGAAAACAGGCUCCGUCGUGACUCGCGUCGGGCGCUGGUGGCCUCCAUCAAGCGUCAGAGCGCGUACUGGAAGCAGCGCGGGAAAUGUCGAGCCGUCUGCGAGGGUGAUGAGAACACGGGCUUCUUCCACGCAAGCGCCUCCCAGCGUAGGCGAUCCAACUCCGUCCGGGCCUUGGAUGUGGACGGGGCUACCAUCCUCGACCACGCGGGGAAGGCGGCGGCCCUCCUCUCCUUCUACUCCGAGCUCCUGGGCAGGGCGCGUUCGUUCGUUUGGCGCUUCGACCUGUCGGCCCUGUACCGUGGCGCUGCUCGGGUCGACGGAGCUGCCCUGACUCGGCCAUUUUCGGCCGACGAGAUCAAGGAGGCGGCGACUAUGCUGGACCGCUCUGUCGCUCCUGGACCGGACGGCCUCGGUCCGGCGUUCUACCAGGCGGCCUGGGGAGUCGUCUCCGAGGACCUGCAGUGGCUUUUCGCUUCUGUCCACGACGGGACGGCGGACCUUGACACGAUCAACCGGGCCUACAUCGCCCUCCUGCCCAAGGGGGCGGGGGUGCCAACGCCGGCUGCUUUCUGCCCCGUUUCCCUCCAGAACGCGGACGUGAAAAUUCUAUGCCGCGGCCUCACCUCGCGGCUGCAGCGACAGAUUGGAAGCAUCAUCGACUGCGGUCAGUCCGGGUUCCUGGCUGGCCGGAGCAUCUCGGAGAACUUUGUCUGCGCU
This 1707-nucleotide ribosomal RNA is filed under the name Triticum aestivum (bread wheat). RNAcentral describes it as "partial small subunit ribosomal RNA". The record is from RNAcentral. Lineage: Eukaryota; Viridiplantae; Streptophyta; Magnoliopsida; Poales; Poaceae.